GGAGGAAUUUAAUGCAAAUGCCAUUGAAUUGGCAAAACUUCAAGAAACUAAGACUAGUCUUCACACGUAAGAAGCUCAAACAACUCAUGACAAGGCAAGCCAAGCUCGGGAGGAAGCUUAAAGAGCUCAAUAAGGUGAUUAUGGAGCUGGCUAAGGAGAAAGGUGCCCCAAGAAGCUAAGCUCCCAAAGUUUCUCCACCGAAUUCGCAUCUGCUCUACUCCGGGGGCUGUUGUCUGUUCGAAUUUUGUUUAUGAGAGCUGUUAUAUGAGGUACACGAGAAUCGACUCCUAAUAAAAUGAACAGCAGACGAGAAGCGCCAAGCUCAAAGAAAAAGUGAUAUGAGGUUAUUUGGGGAUAAAUGCAAAAUAAUUCCAGAACUGAGACUAUUGUUUAAUGUUUAUCAAGACCGUUAGGCAUCUGGGUUUUCUGAGGUACAAAGAGUAUCGGGGUCCCAUUGCGGUGUCUCCUUCUAAGGAUCGGGAGAAUAUUGUCCGAGCUAUUAAUGAAGAAGGACUAAUGUUCCUCCACGAGUCUGCAUCAGGGAGAUCAUGGGAUCAGAGCACACAUCGAUAUGGAAGACAAUGAUCAAGAGUCCUGUCUCAAUCGUUCUAAUAAUCAAUCUACACUUUCAUAUCGAUCUGGUUUGUUGGAGGCCUGACGACUAUCUUAUCAGUACAAAUCAGGGCUGGCUGGCUAGGUGGAGCGGGCAAUCAAUCUCCUUUCCCUUAACAGUAGUAGAAAAUUGUAAAUUUGAUGGAGUUUCACGGAGGGCAUUGUUUGGCAGAAUCAUUACUUCCCGAACCGAACAGUCGGAACUAAUGAGAGCUCGUGGAACUGUCUAAUUUUUCACUUUCCGAUCCUAUAGGUUCAGUCCGGACUGUCUACUGUCGAUGGCCUAGAUUGCUCAGGACUGCAUGUGAUUCUUCUGGUAAAAUGCACUUAUUGGUACUUUGUUCAAUAAAUGAUAUCUGAUACCUCGCGGCAUCAAACCUGGAAAAUCUAUCCGGACAGAUGGU
Molecule: non-coding RNA, 1016 nt
Organism: Punica granatum (pomegranate)
Lineage: Eukaryota; Viridiplantae; Streptophyta; Magnoliopsida; Myrtales; Lythraceae
Source: RefSeq, a predicted model, not a curated record